This 2898-nucleotide ribosomal RNA is filed under the name Klebsiella pneumoniae. RNAcentral's name for it is "bacterial LSU rRNA". It matches the Rfam family "Bacterial large subunit ribosomal RNA". Lineage: Bacteria; Pseudomonadati; Pseudomonadota; Gammaproteobacteria; Enterobacterales; Enterobacteriaceae. The record is from RNAcentral.
UUAAGCGACUAAGCGUACACGGUGGAUGCCCUGGCAGUCAGAGGCGAUGAAGGACGUGCUAAUCUGCGAAAAGCGUCGGUAAGGUGAUAUGAACCGUUAUAACCGGCGAUGUCCGAAUGGGGAAACCCAGUGCAAUUCGUUGCACUAUCGUUAACUGAAUACAUAGGUUAACGAGGCGAACCGGGGGAACUGAAACAUCUAAGUACCCCGAGGAAAAGAAAUCAACCGAGAUUCCCCCAGUAGCGGCGAGCGAACGGGGAGCAGCCCAGAGUCUGAAUCAGCUUGUGUGUUAGUGGAACGGUCUGGAAAGUCCGACGGUACAGGGUGAUAGUCCCGUACACCAAAAUGCACAGGUUGUGAACUCGAAGAGUAGGGCGGGACACGUGGUAUCCUGUCUGAAUAUGGGGGGACCAUCCUCCAAGGCUAAAUACUCCUGACUGACCGAUAGUGAACCAGUACCGUGAGGGAAAGGCGAAAAGAACCCCGGCGAGGGGAGUGAAAAAGAACCUGAAACCGUGUACGUACAAGCAGUGGGAGCACCUUCGGGUGUGACUGCGUACCUUUUGUAUAAUGGGUCAGCGACUUAUAUUCUGUAGCAAGGUUAACCGUAUAGGGGAGCCGCAGGGAAACCGAGUCUUAACUGGGCGUUAAGUUGCAGGGUAUAGACCCGAAACCCGGUGAUCAGCCAUGGGCAGGUUGAAGGUUGGGUAACACUAACUGGAGGACCGAACCGACUAAUGUUGAAAAAUUAGCGGAUGACUUGUGGCUGGGGGUGAAAGGCCAAUCAAACCGGGAGAUAGCUGGUUCUCCCCGAAAGCUAUUUAGGUAGCGCCUCGUGAACUCAUCUUCGGGGGUAGAGCACUGUUUCGGCUAGGGGGUCAUCCCGACUUACCAACCCGAUGCAAACUACGAAUACCGAAGAAUGUUAUCACGGGAGACACACGGCGGGUGCUAACGUCCGUCGUGAAGAGGGAAACAACCCAGACCGCCAGCUAAGGUCCCAAAGUCAUGGUUAAGUGGGAAACGAUGUGGGAAGGCACAGACAGCCAGGAUGUUGGCUUAGAAGCAGCCAUCAUUUAAAGAAAGCGUAAUAGCUCACUGGUCGAGUCGGCCUGCGCGGAAGAUGUAACGGGGCUAAACCAUGCACCGAAGCUGCGGCAGCGACACUAUGUGUUGUUGGGUAGGGGAGCGUUCUGUAAGCCUGCGAAGGUGUGCUGUGAGGCAUGCUGGAGGUAUCAGAAGUGCGAAUGCUGACAUAAGUAACGAUAAAGCGGGUGAAAAGCCCGCUCGCCGGAAGACCAAGGGUUCCUGUCCAACGUUAAUCGGGGCAGGGUGAGUCGACCCCUAAGGCGAGGCCGAAAGGCGUAGUCGAUGGGAAACAGGUUAAUAUUCCUGUACUUGGUGUUACUGCGAAGGGGGGACGGAGAAGGCUAUGUUAGCCGGGCGACGGUUGUCCCGGUUUAAGCAUGUAGGCUGAUUGUCCAGGCAAAUCCGGAUAAUCAAGGCUGAGGUGUGAUGACGAGGCACUACGGUGCUGAAGUAACAAAUGCCCUGCUUCCAGGAAAAGCCUCUAAGCAUCAGGUAACAUUAAAUCGUACCCCAAACCGACACAGGUGGUCAGGUAGAGAAUACCAAGGCGCUUGAGAGAACUCGGGUGAAGGAACUAGGCAAAAUGGUGCCGUAACUUCGGGAGAAGGCACGCUGGUGUGUAGGUGAAGUCCCUGCGGAUGGAGCUGAGACCAGUCGAAGAUACCAGCUGGCUGCAACUGUUUAUUAAAAACACAGCACUGUGCAAACACGAAAGUGGACGUAUACGGUGUGACGCCUGCCCGGUGCCGGAAGGUUAAUUGAUGGGGUUAUCCGUAAGGAGAAGCUCUUGAUCGAAGCCCCGGUAAACGGCGGCCGUAACUAUAACGGUCCUAAGGUAGCGAAAUUCCUUGUCGGGUAAGUUCCGACCUGCACGAAUGGCGUAAUGAUGGCCAGGCUGUCUCCACCCGAGACUCAGUGAAAUUGAACUCGCUGUGAAGAUGCAGUGUACCCGCGGCAAGACGGAAAGACCCCGUGAACCUUUACUAUAGCUUGACACUGAACAUUGAGCCUUGAUGUGUAGGAUAGGUGGGAGGCUUUGAAGCGUGGACGCCAGUCUGCGUGGAGCCAACCUUGAAAUACCACCCUUUAAUGUUUGAUGUUCUAACGUUGGCCCCUGACCGGGGUUGCGGACAGUGUCUGGUGGGUAGUUUGACUGGGGCGGUCUCCUCCCAAAGCGUAACGGAGGAGCACGAAGGUUAGCUAAUCCUGGUCGGACAUCAGGAGGUUAGUGCAAUGGCAUAAGCUAGCUUGACUGCGAGCGUGACGGCGCGAGCAGGUGCGAAAGCAGGUCAUAGUGAUCCGGUGGUUCUGAAUGGAAGGGCCAUCGCUCAACGGAUAAAAGGUACUCCGGGGAUAACAGGCUGAUACCGCCCAAGAGUUCAUAUCGACGGCGGUGUUUGGCACCUCGAUGUCGGCUCAUCACAUCCUGGGGCUGAAGUAGGUCCCAAGGGUAUGGCUGUUCGCCAUUUAAAGUGGUACGCGAGCUGGGUUUAGAACGUCGUGAGACAGUUCGGUCCCUAUCUGCCGUGGGCGCUGGAGAAUUGAGGGGGGCUGCUCCUAGUACGAGAGGACCGGAGUGGACGCAUCACUGGUGUUCGGGUUGUCAUGCCAAUGGCACUGCCCGGUAGCUAAAUGCGGAAGAGAUAAGUGCUGAAAGCAUCUAAGCACGAAACUUGCCCCGAGAUGAGUUCUCCCUGAGACUUUAAGUCUCCUGAAGGAACGUUGAAGACGACGACGUUGAUAGGCCGGGUGUGUAAGCGCAGCGAUGCGUUGAGCUAACCGGUACUAAUGAACCGUGAGGCUUAACCU